UACGUAGGGACCGAGCGUUGUCCGGAAUCAUUGGGCGUAAAGAGCGUGUAGGCGGCCACUUAAGUCCUGCGUGAAAUCUUGCGGCUCAACCGCAAGCGGUCGUGGGAAACUGGGUGGCUAGAGUGCGGGAGGGGAGAGUGGAAUUCCUGGUGUAGCGGUGGAAUGCGCAGAUAUCAGGAAGAACACCCGUGGCGAAGGCGGCUCUCUGGAACGCAACUGACGCUGAGACGCGAAAGCGUGGGGAGCAAACAGG
This 253-nucleotide ribosomal RNA is filed under the name uncultured bacterium. Its description in RNAcentral is "partial 16S ribosomal RNA". It matches the Rfam family "Bacterial small subunit ribosomal RNA", at positions 524 to 776 of the family's 1533-position model. The record is from RNAcentral.